AUGGCCGACAACACAUCAUCGGUCCCUGUGCAGAAGAACACGGACUCACCGCAGAUUAGAGACGAUGAGAAAGAACUAGUAAACUCCAUCCUCCAAGAUACGGAGGACUUGGGCCACCGGCUGCUGUCCAUGUCACAGUAUCUUUGGAUUUCCCAUGCCCGCAUCUCCUUGUACACGGCCGAUGAGCUGGUUACCACAACAUCCAGAUUAAAGAAAAUCUCCAUGGAUUUCUACAAGGCUGCCGAGGAGGCGGUGGAGGAGAAGAGGAAGGAAGAGAAGGAGAGGGAUAGGAUGAGGAAGAAGAAGGAUGCAGAGAGGGAUCAGACGAUGCUGACCCACGAAUUCUUGCGUCUCUCCUCCAGUGUCCUGGCUAGACCCAACCUUUACAAGAAUGAGUUGGCGAUGAUGUUUACGGUGGAGGAUGAGGAGGAGUAUGAGAGGGUGAUGGAGGCGGAGAGGGAGAUGGAGAGGCAGAGGGAGAACUGCAGGCGGCGGAGAAGAAAGAAGAGGCCCCCGAAGAAGCCUCCGAUUGUGGAGGUGGAGCACGCUGCUGACGAGCAGGAAACGAAAUCUCAAACGGAGCAACUCAAAGAGUGGAUGGAUGACGAGCUGGAAUUUUUCGCAGGCCACCGUAGCAUCUGGGAACGCUCUAAUGGCAGCAAGUCCGGACGGUGCGGCGGCUUCGAAGAUAAAACCACAUUGAGUCCUAUGCAGUUUACGCACUGCAUACCCGGUAUCAUCCCGCCCCGUGCCGCUGUCACUGGGAGCACAUUGCAGAUCUACUCCUUCAAAAUUGUUGAACUAAGUGAUGACCUCAAAUGGCCACUCAGGGUGUAUGGUGUGGUCGCUGCCCGAGACACCGUGGACCGCAACCGCAACCUUCUCUUCGCUCGGUCAAGAAUUAGGUGCCAAGUACUCACUGAAAAUGACUCUUCUUUGUGCUUGACUGGCCCGUCUCGUGCAAUUCUAGCCGUAGACCCAGUCGACUUUGAAGUCGAACUAAAAAUACAUGAUGGAGGUGAUGAGCGCAAAGAUAGAGAAUUGAUCUGGGCUAUCAACCAUUACGACAUAGCAUACAACGGUGAGCAGCCAUCUUUAACCUUCCAUAGCCCAUUGUGUAGAGCAGAGUUGAGGCUUGAGCGACUUCCUACAACAGUCCAAGCCACUAUCUUGUCUGUUCAUGUUGUUGGAGGGGGGUCUCUUUUUAAAUCUGGAGGCCAAGUUUUUUGUUCAUCGUCUAGUGCAGAUAGUAGUGCUGCCAGACGUGAGAAGAUUGUGUUGCUUGAUUAUGUUGAAACAAAUUCAGCAGCAAAAAAUGAACGACAUCUAGAUGGCUACCUUCCCCUGUCAAGGAAUGUUGUUUCGGUAGAAUUUGGAGGAGGAUUGGAAGUUGUGGUAAAAGUCUAUGGGGGAUCUGGUUGUACAUGCGGUCAUGUUUACUUCCCUUUCCAGUAUUGCAACAUAAGCCAGGGUACAUGUUCCGUCUCUGGCUCUGAGGUGGAGAUCGUUGUUGCUUGGUCCCGGCUUGUCGGAGACAAGAUGGAUAUGUUGAUCGAAGGGUAUACUACCCAGGCAUAG
RNAcentral lists this ribosomal RNA (1578 nucleotides) under Triticum aestivum (bread wheat). Its description in RNAcentral is "partial small subunit ribosomal RNA". Lineage: Eukaryota; Viridiplantae; Streptophyta; Magnoliopsida; Poales; Poaceae. The record is from RNAcentral.